RNAcentral lists this long non-coding RNA (203 nucleotides) under Elaeis guineensis (African oil palm). Its description in RNAcentral is "long non-coding RNA (EGUI_LNC016157)". Lineage: Eukaryota; Viridiplantae; Streptophyta; Magnoliopsida; Arecales; Arecaceae. The record is from RNAcentral.
GGGACACCACCUUCCAGUCCAUCCCCUCCCAUCACCAUGGAGGAGAUCUACAAUUCUUAAGGGCUUGGUGACCUCAGAGUUGAUGAACGUCGGCCAAUGACUCAAGGCCAGAUCUCUAACCCAUACAUCAUGCAACAUGCUCACUAACCUCUCAUCUCCCACCAGCCACUCCAACUGAGGAAUGACAUCAUAGGCACGCACAC